Molecule: ribosomal RNA, 460 nt
Filed under: uncultured bacterium
Lineage: Bacteria
Description: partial 16S ribosomal RNA
Rfam family: Bacterial small subunit ribosomal RNA
Source: RNAcentral
CCUACGGGCGGCAGCAGUGAGGAAUAUUGGUCAAUGGACGCAAGUCUGAACCAGCCAUGCCGCGUGCAGGAAGACGGCUCUAUGAGUUGUAAACUGCUUUUGUACGAGGGUAAACGCAGAUACGCGUAUCUGUCUGAAAGUAUCGUACGAAUAAGGAUCGGCUAACUCCUUGCCAGCAGCCGCGGUAAUACGGAGGACUCAAUCGUUAUCCGGAGUUAUUGGGUUUAAAGGGUGCGUAGGCGGUCGGAAAAGUUAGGGGUGAAAGCCCGGGGCUCAACUUCGGAAUUGCCUCUGAUACUGUUCGGCUAGAGAGUAGUUGCGGUAGGCGGAAUGUAUGGUGUAGCGGUGAAAUGCUUAGAGAUCAUACAGAACACCGAUUGCGAAGGCAGCUUACCAAGCUACUUCUGACGUUGAGGCACGAAAGCGUGGGGAGCAAACAGGAUUAGAUACCCCAGUAGUC